UACGGAGGAUGCGAGCGUUAUCCGGAUUUAUUGGGUUUAAAGGGUGCGUAGGCGGGCUUUUAAGUCAGCGGUAAAAAUUCGGGGCUCAACCCCGUCCGGCCGUUGAAACUGGGGGCCUUGAGUGGGCGAGAAGAAGGCGGAAUGCGUGGUGUAGCGGUGAAAUGCAUAGAUAUUACGCAGAACCCCGAUUGCGAAGGCAGCCUUCCGGCGCCCUACUGACGCUGAGGCACGAAAGUGCGGGGAUCGAACAGG
RNAcentral lists this ribosomal RNA (252 nucleotides) under uncultured bacterium. RNAcentral describes it as "partial 16S ribosomal RNA". It matches the Rfam family "Bacterial small subunit ribosomal RNA", at positions 524 to 776 of the family's 1533-position model. The record is from RNAcentral.